This is a long non-coding RNA of Mastomys coucha (southern multimammate mouse), 2909 nucleotides long. RefSeq lists it as uncharacterized. Lineage: Eukaryota; Metazoa; Chordata; Mammalia; Rodentia; Muridae. The record is from RefSeq and is a predicted model, not a curated record. The transcript has 2 exons.
GGGCUCAUGGAGUACCCUAGUGAGGGUAUUUUUGGUAAAGUAAUUGGUCUGAUAGCCAGAUAAGGAAGUGUUGAUGGGUGGGGAGGAGGUGAGAAAAUAGUUAUAACACUGAUUCUACACUUUUAAUUUAUAAGAGCAAAAGUAAAUGCAAAAUAACUUUGUAUUAUCUUGACAAGUUAGCAAGCUUUUAUUUUUCUAAGUGAAAAUAUUUUAAAUUCUACCUAGCAAUAUCAUCACUUCAUUUAAAAAACAAACAAAUAAGAAUAAUAUAACAAUAAAAGUUAGUCCUUUGGAAAAGAAGGUUGGGAUUUUUCAUCUAACAUACUGACUUAUAAUAUCAUGUAUGGGUAGACAUAAACAAUAUUAGUUUAUCAGUUUCCCUCUUACUAGGGACAUAUAAAAAUCUUCUAGUGAUCUGAUCCUAAUUCCUGGCCCAGGGUUUGGUCCUUUCUACCUAGCUCUCUUUUGAGACACUAGGUAUGCAUGCAGGAGAGUAAGGUUAACAAUAGGAUCCAAUAGAGACUGUUUGCUUAGCAUCCAAGAUUUCUGUUUAUAUUUUGAUGCUACUGUUACAACAGCAAAAGAAGAGUGGCUUCAGAUGGAAGAGAAAAGGUCAUAAUUUACAGCACAGUGUUCCUGAAAGAGUGCAGCCAAGAGUCCAGAAGACAGGUGCGGGGACUGGAUUUCAAUGGGAAAGAGAGAAUCUGUGCAUCCAGUGACUUGAAAAAAACAAUUCCAUCCUGGGUCACAACCAAUUUCUAAGAUAAGAGGGUGUGAUGAGUGCGGGUGAAGCUGGAGCUGACAGCACCAUCUCCAUCGACAGCCUGCUGGCAUGGACCUCUAGGAGCUUCCCCUCCUUGACUACCUUCUCUACAUGUCUUCAGAAGCCCUCCUUUCAAGUGCUUUCUCUGGAAUUUACAAGCCAUCAUGUUACAGGUGUAUUUGUAAGAUUCUAGAGAGAUCUACCUAUCUGGGAAAACAUGGGCGAACACAGCAACUGUCGACUUCGGUUCUUGUCAUCUAGGGCUGUAUGCAGCGAGCAUAUUUCUGUGGAAGGCAGAUGUGAAUGAGAGAGCCAAGCAAGGGACUAGCUCAUAGCAUGACUCUUACAACGAUCUGCCAAUUACCAAAGUCACUCCUCCCUUGGAGAGACAUGAAUGGAAGAAUUUGGAGGGGAAAGGUCAAGUUCUCGCCUCAAAAUAGCUGAUUUAUGUCCUAAGCUCAUACAAUAUAGAAGCAGAAAUUCAGGAGAAGGCCCAAGAUUCCCGCGUCAGUACAGGAACUGACAUGCAGGCUCCGUAGCUUUACAUAGUCCCCAUCUGUUAUUCAGAAGGUGGUGCUUAUUUCUCUGUGUGCAUCAGUUAGGUUACUCUGUACAAGCACAAUCCAACUUGCAAGCAAAGCACCUAGAGCCUUGUGAUAAGGAGUCACAGGCUUUGUAAUAAGGCUUCAGUGAUGAGGAGUAGCGUGACCCAUGGGACUCUAGACUCCAGCUGUCAGGCAGGCUUGGGCAUCAGUUGAUCUAACAUCCAAACAAUGCCACCAAUGACCCAGUUUCUUUUAUUCUUUCCACCAUGAUGUCCACUGUUAUCUAAUUCAUCUUAGGUGGCUCCCUUCAGGUCUGUGUCAUGACUGCCAACAGCACUGGACUAUAAACUUCCUCUUCUCUGUCCAAACAGAGAAGGCAACUGCUUUGACUGUACGGCACAAGCCUUGGGCUUCAAAUCACAGCUUGGUUGAUACAAGUUAGCUGAGUUAAGUCCUAAACCAAGCAUUUCAGCGAGAAGAAGAGAGUGAUCUUAAAUGUCUUAGGUCAGUCAGGGCCCCUCAGUAAGGUUAGGUCUCAUUCACAUCCUGUAGCUGCUACAUGACAGGACUGGAACUAAGAUCUGUGAAAUAUCCACAAUAUAAGCCAAAGAGUAGACUCCUUACACUUGUAUUAAGUGCUCAGUAUUUAUUGAGAGAAUAAAUUUAUUACAAAUGCACUAGAAGCAGUUUGCUGAAGCAUCAAGUAGCUAGUUAUAAUCAUUUAUGUAAAGUACAGUGUUAUAUAAGGUUACAAUAGUUUAGUUAUUGUAGGAUUUAAGUUGUAAAGAGCCUUCAGGACUAGGGGUAUAGCUCAGUGGCCUAUGUUUAAAAUCUACAAGGUUUUAGCACAUGUGAAAAAAUAAAUGAGGAAUAUCCCGGUCAGAAGUAUAUCUCAUUUAGGAAAAAGUAAGAUAGGACAGGAUUUUUUUUUGAAAUGGCGAUUGAAAUAUAACUUACAUGAGUUAUCACUGAUUCAAUACAACUUCACAGUGUUUCACAAAUAAAGAUUUAGUACAAAUGGAAAGAUAAUUGUCAUAACUUUUCUUUUGACAUUAAUAGAGGGACAAUUGAUUAAAUGUGAACACUAAACUUUUAGCUUUGAAACAAAACAUUAUUGCUUUAUCUCAAGCUUUGGUAAUAUUUUACAUUUUUUUAAAUCUAAAAAUUAAGAGAAAAAACAAGUAACCCUUGGUGUUGUAAAGCAAAUAGAAAUAAGAUAUAAUAAUUUUAUAUAAUAUCUUAUUUUCUAUUUUUAUCUCUUAUCAUCUUUAUUCUUUCCUGAAAGACAGAAAAAAAAUUCUUAAAACACAUACAUUUUAAAUGUAUUAGGCCUUUUAAAAAUAAAUACAAUUAAUUUAUUUGAGAUCAUGACAAAGUCUCACAGGCUUUCUACAAAGCUACAGUCCUGAAGAUUUAGGUUUACAAGUGUGUAAAACAUACCCAGUUCCUCUAAACUUCUUUGCUUUUAGAAACAUAUACUUACACGUGGUAAAUUAUUCUGUUAAAACAUUUAUUUUUCAAACUGAAAUAGUAUCUCCAUAUCUUACCUUCUACUACAAGCUGUUGUACUUAAUCUUUAUUAAAUCAAAUCAUACUUCUGA